GACGAACGCUGGCGGCGUGCCUAACACAUGCAAGUCGAACGGAAAGGCCCUGCUUUUGUGGGGUGCUCGAGUGGCGAACGGGUGAGUAACACGCGAGUAACCCGUCCUUGACUUUGGGAUAACUUCAGGAAACUGGGGCUAAUACCGGAUAGGAGCUCUUGCUGCAUGGUGGGGGUUGGAAAGUUUCGGCGGUUGGGGAUGGACUCGCGGCUUAUCAGCUUGUUGGUGGGGUAGUGGCUUACCAAGGCUUUGACGGGUAGCCGGCCUGAGAGGGUGACCGGCGACCUUGGGACUGAGAUACGGCCCAGACUGCUACGGGAAGCAGGAGUCGGGAGUAUUGCACAGUGACCGGAAGCCUGAUGCAGAGACGCCGCGUGCGGGAUGCCGGGCUUCGGGUUGAAAACAGCUUUCGCAUGAGACAAAGCGUGAGUGACGGUAAUGGGUCAAGAAGCAACGGCUAACUACGUG
This 468-nucleotide ribosomal RNA is filed under the name uncultured bacterium. RNAcentral describes it as "partial 16S ribosomal RNA". It matches the Rfam family "Bacterial small subunit ribosomal RNA", at positions 28 to 507 of the family's 1533-position model. The record is from RNAcentral.